CUGGAGAACCACCGCACUGACUCUAACUGCUAUCCUAUUCCCAGCAGCAGGAAUAUGGUUUAUAGGUAUAUUUUUGCGCAGUGUUGAUAGAUUUAACGAAGAUAAUGAAGUGCAAAGGUCAAACACCACUCCAUUGCUUAAAGAGAAUAAUAAUACUGAAGAUACAUCACCAUCUGCUCCUCCUCCUCCUCAACACCAACAAUGUUGAUUCCCUUAUAUUUUCUUAGUGUUUAUACGGCCACCGUUCAACUGUAUAUAGCAUUCGUUUUAUUCUUUUAACACUUAAAACCUCUUUUUUGGUUGUGCUAAAGGAAAAGGAACAUACCAAGAUUCAAUGUUAUAAUGUAUCAUUGGUGUGUGAUAUU
Long non-coding RNA from Neltuma alba, 365 nucleotides. RefSeq lists it as uncharacterized. The transcript has 2 exons. The record is from RefSeq and is a predicted model, not a curated record. NCBI's taxonomy places the organism in Eukaryota, Viridiplantae, Streptophyta, Magnoliopsida, Fabales, Fabaceae.